AUGCUAGAUUAUAAUUCGGAAAACACCGAAUACAUGGAAGAAGAUGGCGGAGCCACAACUAAUACCGAUGUUGCACCCCCAUCACCGGCCGCUGGCCAGCCACGCCCACCUACAAUAUUUACAUGGUGGAUGCCCCCAAGGACGGCGAUGGCACUCCCAAUCAGGACCGAGAAAAGCUCGGAGAUGAGCCGCCCAAACGCCGAAGACAUCGCCAUUGAUCUAAGCCACGUCGAAGCCACGCGAGCAACAUGGACUCCGCGGAGAACGACAUCGCGAAUAAUACGGAUUGGAGCUGCAGCUAACGAACAUCAUCAGGAUGACCCCGCGGGGCAGGAGCACCCGUUCAACCCAAAAAACCCCAAUGACUCCGAAGACAGCAACUACCUCCCAUCCUCUGAAGAGGAGGCCAGUCUCGGGGAUGACGAUUUCAUCGUCCCCGAAGACUCGCUGGAGCAGGAACAGUUCAAGCGGAGGCUUCUAGCCACCGCCCGCAGCCUGAAGAAACAAAAGCGCAAAAUCAAGGCCGAACAUGACACCCUCAAUGAUCGAUGGACCAAAGUCCUAGCCGCCAAAGAAGGGUAUGGCCGCGAACAGCCAAUCAAAAGCUAUCCCAAGUGCAGAUUGCUGCCGCAGUUCGAUGUCGAGGCCGUAGAGCCAACACGUCCGACAUAUACACGCACCGAACAGUCGGACCGCCCCCCUAGAGGGCGGGGCAGAGAAGCUGACGAGGCCGAGCACCCCGCCGCCCCACCUCGCCGUCACGGCAAGGAUCAAGUGCGGCCGGCCUACGAAUACGACCUCCGCCAUGACCUAGACGCUCGAGGAGGCUGUACCAGGUCCAUUUAUGGACCAGAGAAGACCCGCCCACUCAUCGGGAAGGAUAUUACGAUUGGCUGA
This 897-nucleotide ribosomal RNA is filed under the name Triticum aestivum (bread wheat). RNAcentral describes it as "partial small subunit ribosomal RNA". The record is from RNAcentral. Lineage: Eukaryota; Viridiplantae; Streptophyta; Magnoliopsida; Poales; Poaceae.